This 1035-nucleotide long non-coding RNA is filed under the name Apteryx haastii (Great spotted kiwi). Its description in RNAcentral is "lncRNA (ENSAHAG00000007404.1)". Lineage: Eukaryota; Metazoa; Chordata; Aves; Apterygiformes; Apterygidae. The record is from RNAcentral.
CGGGCAGGAGCGCCGCGGAGCGCGCGUGGUGCUGAACGCGCUGCCGGGCAGUCGCUGCUGCUCCGCACCAGCCCGAUCCACGCGCUUGCCUCACCCCCUUCCUCCGCUCUUCCCUCCCGCCCCAGCCCGGGAACCAGCCCCCUCCUCCGCCGGUAUCCGUAUUCCUGCUUUUCUGCCCAACAGCAGAGAAAGCCAAACCAGAGGGGGUCAGCCACGACACCCCUGCGCGAGAGCCGUGCAGAGGACCCAUCGCUGCUGUCCCACGUGGGGACGCUCAGUCCCGUCUCCUCCCCUGCCGCCGCGCGCAGCCAUGGCCUAGGCAAAGCCCCUGCACAACUCGGAGCACAAGUAGAGCCAGGCCGGCGCGCGCCCACGCUCGGGGCUGCCGCUCGUCCUCCGGCGUGUCUCAUCCUCUUCCUCAACCCUUCAGUCAAAGCAUCUUUCUGGGAAGUGGCUUCUGGGACCACAGUGCGAUUGAAGUGUUUUGUUUUUAAAUUAAAAAAAACAAAACAAAACCAAAAAACCCCCCAGAAAGUCCCUUCCAAAGAAGUUGGGAAAUACUGCAAAAGGCCACUGACAAAACGAAGACGUCAUGAUUUUGCAACCCUCUUCCGUAUGUACGUGAAGGAAAUGCCAUGGGAGCCGCGGGCUCCAGCCGGCUCCGAGCGGCCAGGAGGAACAGCGCAGGCAGGAUGGCGGCAGCUCCUGCGCGAGAGCGGCGCCUCAAAACGAGGGGGGUCCCGUCCAGCCCCCCCCGCCCGGCUCCCCGCGCAGGGCGGUCGCACGCACCCGAUUCCCCGGUUCGGACGACUCCACUCGCGCGGUUUCUCCCGGGAAGCCCCCGCACAGCCUCGGCGCUCACCACGGGCGGCUCCUUCCCCUGCACCGACAUGCAACUCUUUCCUGAACUUUAUUCCUCAAUUAGACGUUUCGCCUCUCCGCAACCCCCCACGCCUAGCGCCUUCCCUCUCUCCGUGUUCAGGCUUUUCAGGCUUUCCGCGAGGCACACGGAGGCGCGGGGCACGGGGAAGCUGA